This is a small nucleolar RNA of Lytechinus pictus (painted urchin), 137 nucleotides long. RefSeq annotates it as small nucleolar RNA SNORA57. The transcript has a single exon. The record is from RefSeq and is a predicted model, not a curated record. NCBI's taxonomy places the organism in Eukaryota, Metazoa, Echinodermata, Echinoidea, Temnopleuroida, Toxopneustidae.
CCUCCUUUUCUUGGCAUCUCUUGAACUUCCACCAUGUUUAUGAGAUGAAUGCAACCAGGAGGAAGAUUAACAUGAUGAACCUUCGGUGUCAAGGGUGUCUUUAUCCCUUGAUCCCAUCCUCUAGCAUCAUCACAUUC